RNAcentral lists this unclassified non-coding RNA (337 nucleotides) under soil metagenome. RNAcentral describes it as "partial contains 5.8S ribosomal RNA, internal transcribed spacer 2, and large subunit ribosomal RNA". The stretch from base 1 to 120 matches the Rfam family "5.8S ribosomal RNA", at positions 35 to 154 of the family's 154-position model. The record is from RNAcentral.
GAUGAAGAACGUAGCGAAAUGCGAUAACUAAUGUGAAUUGCAGAAUUCAGUGAAUCAUCGAGUCUUUGAACGCACAUUGCGCCCCCUGGUAUUCCGGGGGGCAUGCCUGUCCGAGCGUCAUUGCUGCCCUCAAGCACGGCUUGUGUGUUGGGCUCCGUCCCCCCGGAGGCCGGCCCCGAAAUGCAGUGGCGGCUCUACCGCGAUCUCCUCUGUGUAGUAGCGAUACCUCGCAGCUGGAUAGUGGUGGUGCCACGCCGUAAAAUCCCAACUUUACCAAGGUUGACCUCGGAUCAGGUAGGAAUACCCGCUGAACUUAAGCAUAUCAAUAAGCGGAGGA